RNAcentral lists this ribosomal RNA (484 nucleotides) under uncultured bacterium. RNAcentral's name for it is "partial 16S ribosomal RNA". It matches the Rfam family "Bacterial small subunit ribosomal RNA", at positions 28 to 523 of the family's 1533-position model. The record is from RNAcentral.
GACGAACGCUGGCGGCGUGCUUAACACAUGCAAGUCGAACGAUGAAGCUGGAGCUUGCUCCGGUGGAUUAGUGGCGAACGGGUGAGUAACACGUGAGAAAUCUGCCCUUGACUCUGGGAUAACUGCGGGAAACUGUAGCUAAUACCGGAUAUUUUCCUUGGUGGGCAUCCACUGGGGAAGAAAGAAUUUCGGUCAAGGAUGAUCUCGCGGCCUAUCAGCUAGUUGGUGAGGUAAUGGCUCACCAAGGCGACGACGGGUAGCCGGCCUGAGAGGGGGACCGGCCACACUGGGACUGAGACACGGCCCAGACUCCUACGGGAGGCGGCAGUGGGGAAUAUUGCACAAUGGGGGCAAGCCUGAUGCAGCAACGCCGCGUGAGGGAUGAAGGCCUUCGGGUUGUAAACCUCUUUUAGCAGGGAAGAAGCGAAAGUGACGGUACCUGCAGAAAAAGCACCGGCUAACUACGUGCCAGCAGCCGCCGUAA